UUAGCCCAAGAGAUCGGGAUAACACCUGGAAACAGAUGCUAAUACCGGAUAACAACAGAUGAUGCCUAUCAACUGUUUAAAAGAUGGUUCUGCUAUCACUCUUGGAUGGACCUGCGGUGCAUUAGCUAGUUGGUAGGGUAACGGCCUACCAAGGCGAUGAUGCAUAGCCGAGUUGAGAGACUGAUCGGCCACAUUGGGACUGAGACACGGCCCAAACUCCUACGGGAGGCAGCAG
This 235-nucleotide ribosomal RNA is filed under the name uncultured Lactobacillus sp. RNAcentral's name for it is "partial 16S ribosomal RNA". It matches the Rfam family "Bacterial small subunit ribosomal RNA", at positions 125 to 354 of the family's 1533-position model. Lineage: Bacteria; Bacillati; Bacillota; Bacilli; Lactobacillales; Lactobacillaceae. The record is from RNAcentral.